This is a long non-coding RNA of Hyla sarda, 741 nucleotides long. RefSeq lists it as uncharacterized. The transcript has 4 exons. The record is from RefSeq and is a predicted model, not a curated record. Lineage: Eukaryota; Metazoa; Chordata; Amphibia; Anura; Hylidae.
CUGGUGUUGGCCAUGAAGCGAUUCUAACACCUCCACAGUCCGCAGACCGCAGAAUUGUUGAUCAGCUUACAUUAUUCUAGAUAAUGAAAAUAUAAAGAUAUCCAGAUGUAAACCUAUAAAACCAAUACCAAAUAUUUACUCUGUUGGUUAAAUGGGAUGGAGCACUAGAAUCUUCUUUUCUGGGUGGUUGAAAGUGUGGUGGUGUCAAGAAGAAGCUGAUAGAGGCCUAAUUUUUAUGUACUCUAUAGGGGACCCUUCAUCUCUGUGUGACAUUGCCCUAUGGGUAUUUAUUUAAGAUUCUUUAAAGUAUCCCCUGGAGAACCUGACGAAGAGGGGGUCCCGCCCCUCGAAACGCGUUGUUCGCAUGCCUUUGUAAAAUAAAUGGUUUGUUAUUUUACCAAGUCCCUACCUUGCUGGGUAUCAUUUACUAAACCCACUCCACUGCGAGUAGAGCGCCGCUGACUGCACGAUUUCAACGGGAGAACUUUUGACCUCCACCUGCAUCUAUACCACAGUCCUCCACCUACUGGAAACGGGACCAGUGCAGGCUGCACUCCUCCAUCUACCACUCAUUGUGAGAACAAGCGAGCUGUGGUGUUGUGCUCAUAGCACAACACAUAUAGGUACGGUCACUCUGCUUUAUAUCUUCAUUGGAACAAUGCAAUUUAACCAGACUGGAAAACCAGGUAGAAGAACAAGACCCUCAGGAGAUUCCUGCCAAGAAACGAACAGCAACAUGAC